CAUAAUAGUCCAAUAACUUAGUGCAAGCUUGUGGCUGGCUAUUCGCUUGCCGCAUCAUUUUGAAUCGUUUCUAGCCUGAGCCACCUUUGUGUUAUCUCCACUCCGAGCGGUCACCUCCGUACUCCAGGCCAUGAAAGGUUAGAUUUUUCAAGGGAAUGCCUAAAUGACUUUUUAGGAGACAUCUUAUGCCUAAAUUGUGGGAUAAAGAUACUGAAGUGGAGACCAUUAACAAAAGGAACUCUAAACUUAAAGACCUGAUUAAGAUGUUGGCAGUAGAAGUACAACGAGAGCAUGAUCAAUGCACUCUCAAGUACAACUUGGAACAGGCACCUGAAAGAUUUGGCGGCCUGCAUGCUAUUUCUACCUUGUCGGCAUCUUUGCCUAAGCAACUAUGCAAGCAAUGCGAGAGAAAGCUGAGCUUCUUCCCCUGUGCCAGUCCCUGGAAGAUGCUUGGAGACACGAGUAUCUUAUAAAAUGCUGCUAUGUUUAUAAAUCAAUAUUUUACUGAACUGCAGAACCUAUGUCGAAUUAUAGUUAUGUAAUGAGUUCUAAGCCAUUCUCUUCUACCCUUGCUAUUUCUAAACCUUUGACAAUUAACCAUGUAUUG
Molecule: long non-coding RNA, 607 nt
Organism: Setaria italica (foxtail millet)
Lineage: Eukaryota; Viridiplantae; Streptophyta; Magnoliopsida; Poales; Poaceae
Exons: 3
Source: RefSeq, a predicted model, not a curated record